AUGCAAGUCGAACGAUGAAGCCCAGCUUGCUGGGUGGAUUAGUGGCGAACGGGUGAGUAACACGUGAGUAACCUGCCCUUAACUCUGGGAUAAGCCUGGGAAACUGGGUCUAAUACCGGAUAGGAGCGUCCACCGCAUGGUGGGUGUUGGAAAGAUUUAUCGGUUUUGGAUGGACUCGCGGCCUAUCAGCUUGUUGGUGAGGUAAUGGCUCACCAAGGCGACGACGGGUAGCCGGCCUGAGAGGGUGACCGGCCACACUGGGACUGAGACACGGCCCAGACUCCUACGGGAGGCAGCAGUGGGGAAUAUUGCACAAUGGGCGAAAGCCUGAUGCAGCGACGCCGCGUGAGGGAUGACGGCCUUCGGGUUGUAAACCUCUUUCAGUAGGGAAGAAGCGAAAGUGACGGUACCUGCAGAAGAAGCACCGGCUAACUACGUGCCAGCAGCCGCGGUAAUACGUAGGGUGCGAGCGUUAUCCGGAAUUAUUGGGCGUAAAGAGCUCGUAGGCGGUUUGUCGCGUCUGUCGUGAAAGUCCGGGGCUUAACCCCGGAUCUGCGGUGGGUACGGGCAGACUAGAGUGCAGUAGGGGAGACUGGAAUUCCUGGUGUAGCGGUGGAAUGCGCAGAUAUCAGGAGGAACACCGAUGGCGAAGGCAGGUCUCUGGGCUGUAACUGACGCUGAGGAGCGAAAGCAUGGGGAGCGAACAGGAUUAGAUACCCUGGUAGUCCAUGCCGUAAACGUUGGGCACUAGGUGUGGGGACCAUUCCACGGUUUCCGCGCCGCAGCUAACGCAUUAAGUGCCCCGCCUGGGGAGUACGGCCGCAAGGCUAAAACUCAAAGGAAUUGACGGGGGCCCGCACAAGCGGCGGAGCAUGCGGAUUAAUUCGAUGCAACGCGAAGAACCUUACCAAGGCUUGACAUGUUCUCGAUCGCCGUAGAGAUACGGUUUCCCCUUUGGGGCGGGUUCACAGGUGGUGCAUGGUUGUCGUCAGCUCGUGUCGUGAGAUGUUGGGUUAAGUCCCGCAACGAGCGCAACCCUCGUUCCAUGUUGCCAGCACGUAAUGGUGGGGACUCAUGGGAGACUGCCGGGGUCAA
This is a ribosomal RNA of 1095 nucleotides. It matches the Rfam family "Bacterial small subunit ribosomal RNA", at positions 55 to 1161 of the family's 1533-position model.